Molecule: ribosomal RNA, 402 nt
Filed under: uncultured bacterium
Lineage: Bacteria
Description: bacterial SSU rRNA
Rfam family: Bacterial small subunit ribosomal RNA
Source: RNAcentral
ACUCCUACGGGAGGCAGCAGUGGGGAAUCUUGGACAAUGGGGCAACCCGUGAUCCAGCCAUGCCGCGUGAGUGAUGAAGGCCUUAGGGUCGUAAAGCUCUUUCGCCUGUGAAGAUAAUGACGGUAGCAGGUAAAGAAACCCCGGCUAACUCCGUGCCAGCAGCCGCGGUAAUACGGAGGGGUUAGCGUUGUUCGGAAUUACUGGGCGUAAAGCGCACGUAGGCGGAUCGGAAAGUUGGGGUGAAAUCCCCGGGGCUCAAACCCCCGGGAACGGCCUCCAAAACUAUCGGUCUAGAGUUCGAGAGAGGUGAGUGGAAUUCCGAGUGUAGAGGUGAAAUUCGGUAAUAUUCGGAGGAACACCAGUGGCGAAGGCGGCUCACUGGCUCGAUACUGACGCUGAGGU